GCGGGCGUGGCGAAAUUGGCAGACGCACCAGACUUAGAAUCUGGCGGGAGACCGUGGGGGUUCGAGUCCCUUCGCCCGCACCA
Molecule: transfer RNA, 83 nt
Filed under: Erysipelotrichaceae bacterium
Lineage: Bacteria; Bacillati; Bacillota; Erysipelotrichia; Erysipelotrichales; Erysipelotrichaceae
Description: tRNA-Leu
Rfam family: tRNA
About the family: Transfer RNA (tRNA) molecules are approximately 80 nucleotides in length.
Source: RNAcentral